Long non-coding RNA from Cavia porcellus (domestic guinea pig), 1432 nucleotides. RefSeq lists it as uncharacterized. NCBI's taxonomy places the organism in Eukaryota, Metazoa, Chordata, Mammalia, Rodentia, Caviidae. The transcript is spliced from 2 exons. The record is from RefSeq and is a predicted model, not a curated record.
AUUUCACUGCAGGUGGAGGGAAUGCUGGGGGGGGCAACCAGGAAUUCUGCCCCCUCCCCCCAGGCCCCGGGGAACAAACUGGGUCCCCAGAGGAGAAUCAGGGGCUCCCUCACAGGUUCCAGGAGAGUCCAGGGCUCCCCAUGAUCCAAACAGUCCAGAGAAGCUAGGGGCAUGCCUGUGCCACCAGCCCCUUGGGAAGUUGAGGCAGGAGGGUCCCAUUUUUCAAGCCCAGCCUGGAGUAGUUUAGCAAGACCCUCUCUCAAAAUAAAACAAAGCUGGGGAUGUAGCUCAGCGUGAAGGCCCUGCGUUUCUUCCCCAGUACUUACUGCAAAGACAAAUGUGUCAAGGGAGAGAGGAUUUAUACACAGGGUCCUGACAGUGCAGAUACUUUAUAGGAUUAAUCGCCAGGCCCAACAGAGCCAUAGCGAGAGAGGGACUUGUGCAAACUGUGGACCAGGGGGAUAAGCGACUUUUUUUUUUUUUUUGGAAAUCUCAACUAGACCUAUAGCAUGGAGCCUGACUAGUGAGAGACAAGAGUAACUGGCUGCGCCUUGAUCAUACCAUACCUGAUCUCCUAUUCCUUGCCAUUGUAUGAACUGUAUAGUGUGAUGCAUUGAGUUGCGUGUCAGUGGCAAAAUGACCACUCCAGGAAGAGGUGACACAUGCCCACUGGGGUCACCUGGUCUUUGUGUGUUGAUCAGACCUAAUCUUGGCAGAUCUCUGCCCUUCAUAUGUCUGACUACUCACUCCCUAGUCCAGCCCUGGCCCUGGAGGUGGAGCCCCGGACCUGUUGCCUGGUAGACAGGCACUCUGCCACUGUGCUACACCCCUGAUCCCUGAUCCCAUUUUGUUUGAUUUUGAGACAGGCUCUCACCGCAUGCCUUGCGUUGGAUUUGAGCUUUUGAUCCUCCUGCCUCAGCCUUCAAAGUAGCUCGAAUGACAGGUGCCCACACCCCAGGUGCCCUGGUGGGAAGAGGUGAGAGGAGCAGGGAAGGCGACAGAGACCGAGGACGGCGCUGACCCCAUUCGUGCAGCCGCAGGGUGAUCUCAGGCGACCUCUCUGUCCAGUUGGCGGCCCGGGACUCCACCCAGAGCAUGACGCUGCGGAGCACCGGCACCCCAUCCUGGUCCGAGAACCGCAGCCGGGUGGCCGAGCCCGCCCAGAAGUAGCAGCAGGGCCCGGGGCGGAGGCUGCGGGGAGGGAGCACCCUGAGCUGGGCCAGGCCGGGCCUCCCCUCCACCCGCCCGUUGGGGUUUGCUCCUGUGGUGCUGGGAGUGAACCCCGGGGCUCCUCACUGGGCUCCAGCUUCACCCUUUUUUGUUAUUUUUAUUUCUAGGCAGGAUCUUCCAAAUUGCUGAGUGGUUAAACAUGUGAUCCGCCUGCCUCAGCCUCCAAAAUAGUUGGGAUUACAGAAGUGUGUCUCUAACUCCA